AGUCAAUCCUAAGAGACAGGGAAUCCUUGUAUCAAGGGUGCACACUACAUGAACAUCGAAGGAGAAUUGGGUUAAUAUUCCCGAAUCGGGACAUGGUGGUGGAAGACAAUUUUAGGAAAUAUGGAGAUGUCAUCAGGGGCCUGGGAAGAGUUAUCUUUUCUUUUUAACGACUUUCCCACUCUGAAAUCGGUUCAAAUAGAGAUAGGGUCCAACAUCUAGAAGAGAACCACACAUCUCACAGUGUUUGGUGCCCCCUCGACGACCAUUGAAAAUAUGGAGAACCAAGUACCAUCCAUGCCUGAUCGUACUCAUAUCUGCCUCCUUGGAUUUUUCAAUGCCC
Molecule: non-coding RNA, 340 nt
Organism: Picea glauca (white spruce)
Lineage: Eukaryota; Viridiplantae; Streptophyta; Pinopsida; Pinales; Pinaceae
Source: Rfam